Molecule: ribosomal RNA, 253 nt
Filed under: uncultured bacterium
Lineage: Bacteria
Description: partial 16S ribosomal RNA
Rfam family: Bacterial small subunit ribosomal RNA
Source: RNAcentral
UACGUAGGGAGCAAGCGUUGUCCGGAAUCAUUGGGCGUAAAGAGCGUGUAGGCGGACCAGUAAGUCGGCUGUGAAAGUCAAGGGCUCAACCCUUGGAUGCCGGCCGAUACUGCUGGUCUAGAAUCCGGAAGAGGCGAGUGGAAUUCCUGGUGUAGCGGUGAAAUGCGCAGAUAUCAGGAGGAACACCAAUGGCGAAGGCAGCUCGCUGGGACGGUAUUGACGCUGAGACGCGAAAGCGUGGGGAGCAAACAGG